Long non-coding RNA from Conger conger (European conger), 1200 nucleotides. RefSeq lists it as uncharacterized. NCBI's taxonomy places the organism in Eukaryota, Metazoa, Chordata, Actinopteri, Anguilliformes, Congridae. The transcript has 2 exons. The record is from RefSeq and is a predicted model, not a curated record.
CUAUAAAGCCAAGGGUGAGUGAAUUGGGAUACAAGAAGCCUAUUUUGCCAUCAGACAGUCUGGGAGCUGGUUUUUACCCUGUACAAGAAUUCUGCAGGAUGUCAGCCAAGAUAAACGGUGAUCUAACGCCAUCAGGACUCAUAAACAUGAUUGAUACAUUUGACAGACCAGAGGACGCCAGAGCUGAAGGUCUAUAUGCCUCAGCCGGCAGCUAUGAAGAAGGAGGUUUCACCGACAAGCCGAUGCAACGGAUCCCGAAAGCUGGAGUCUAUGCUUAUGCGGGAGUGGGGCACGCGAAGGCUGAGUAUAGCGUGUUCGAGGCGGAAGCGAAUGGGCCAAACGCUUCAGCGGGGGCUGGCGCAUCUGUGACUGGGGUAAACGCAAUGGCCAGAGCUGAGUUGGCCAGCGCUUCGGCGACCGCUGGCCCACUGAAGGUGAAGGCUGGCCUGGGGGUCGACACUGGAGUGAGUGCUGGUGUGGAUGGAGUGGAGGCGAAGUUUCUAGGCACCGGUGUAAGAAUUGGACCAAAGCCUGCAAUAUCCCUGCUGGGAUCUGAGGUAGAAUGCUCCAUUAUGUGACUGUCCUUAUAAGAACGACACACAUCUUUCUGACAUCACAUCGUGUGGUCCUUCAUGUUAUUUCAUUUCUGCUGUCUUCUGCUUUUUGUAGCUUUUUGUAACUUUUUAAUUACAGAAAUAAAAAUUGUAAGUGCAUUUCCUAUUUCAUAAAAAAAAAAAUUUUUAAUCUACUUUUAUAUAGCACAAAUAUGCGGGGCAGCCUGUAGCCUAGUCGUUAAGGUGCAUGAGUGGGACCUAGAAGGUUGGUGGUUAUAUCCCCAGUGUAGCCACCAUAAGAUCCGCACAGCUGUUGGGCCCUUGAGCAAGGCCCCUUAGCCCUGCAUUGCUGCAGGGGGGAUUGUCCCCGGCUUAGUCUAAUCAACUGUAAGUAACUUUGGAUAAAAGCUUUAGCUAAAUAAAAUGUUGGAGAACUUGCCAUAGUUCUUCUGCAGACUUUGGUUGGUUUGUUGCUUCUGAUCUCAGACAGCCAUGAUCAAGUUUUUAUGUAAAAAGUAAUCAAUUGCAUAAGUAAUGUUAUUUUUUAUUAAAUACAAAAAUGUCUCUGUAAAUUAAAUCUUUUGUAAAAUGAAUAUUUGGAAAUAGAUUUUUCAAAAAAAUAAAUAAAUAAAAAAUAAUAUAUGUA